UUGCCUUUGCAAUGUUCCUGAGUUUGAACUUGCUGGGUGCUACGGAUUCGACGUUUCGGUUCAUGGCUCUCCUGUCAUUCGCCUACGCUCUGCAAGGCCUACACUUCCUCGUAUGCGGUAUUCUCUCUCCAACGUUAUCAGCAGCACUAACGAAGUCCUUCUACUAUCUGUCCUUCCACUGUGCAGCGGGCGUACUCUAUUUCUUCUCGAGCAUAUCUGCCAUCUGUGCCUUGCGGUUCAGUGUCAUCCAGUGUGCCCAUGGGGUUACCAGUGGCCUGAUGGCGCUUGCCCUAUCCCUCAUCCACCUUGCACAUUUUCUCAUGUGCAUCCUUGGCGGUGACGUUCCACACAGCAAAGCCGCUUUCGCGGAGAAGCUGUUCAAGAACUUUAGCGGGCUUGACCUCGGUGGUUUUACGUUCGGCUACUUUUAAUCUACUGCUUGUGCUUGCAGACAGCAGUCCCAGCAUUAACGGCCCUAGCUAUUAUCGGACGUUCUAAUAAAUAUUCCUAAUGUGCUAAUACGUGCCAAUAAAGAAAAUUCCCUUCUUCUA
Ornithodoros turicata is the source of this 551-nucleotide long non-coding RNA. RefSeq lists it as uncharacterized. NCBI's taxonomy places the organism in Eukaryota, Metazoa, Arthropoda, Arachnida, Ixodida, Argasidae. The transcript is spliced from 3 exons. The record is from RefSeq and is a predicted model, not a curated record.